UUUUUGUUCGCCGCAGUUAUUUCAGUUUUCCAGUAGGAUUUUAUACAAGAUCAGCUCUGGCCGUCUACGCGGUGCAGCGGUCUUAAUCAUUCGCAUUCAAAUCGGAUACCUUGUGUUUUAGUACCUGUAGAAAUACACUGCUAGAACACAAAUAAUACAUGUAAAAUAAAAAUUGAUUUUUGGGAGAAAUCCGUGAAAUUUGGAAUUUUAUUCAAGGAAUCAAUUGUGAGGAUGUUCAGUGCAGUGAAUGUGUAUCAAAAGCAUUUCUGGUGUUGGUAGUGUGGGUGUCACAGGAUCAGCCAAGGAAAAUGACGGAUGUUUUCGGACCAUGGGACGACAAGCCGGGAGACGGCGACAUGGUGGAGACCGUGGAGACGGUGGAAACCGUUACCACGACCACUACAAGGACUAGAACCCCUUCGAAAUCGUCAUCGACGAAGACUACCACAAUGACGACGCCGGCCAAGCUGUUUGGACGAGAGUUGUCGAAUUUUGACGAAGUGGACGUGGAUGAGUUGCUGUCAAAGCUGACGCAGGAAGAGCUGUCCAUGCUUGCCAAAGAAGUGGACCCAGAUGACAACACGUUCCCCCCGUCGCUCCGCAACAACUACGACUGUGAUAAGGACCCCACAGGCCCCCUGAACCGCAAGAAGCUGAUAGAACACAUCAACAAACAGGCCUUGGAGACGCCCGACCGGCCCGAAGUGAAGCCCUAUGUCCCCGGUGUCAUUCGAGGGAAGAAGUGGAUCCCACCGCCUCCACCAGAAAAGAUAAGAGACGCGGAUGAACAGAUCUCGAUCGACCUCGGCGAUGAGUAUGAGCAGGCGCUCGACAGUGCUUCCCAGGAGGAGAUCAUUGACCUGGCUGCGAUCCUCGGCUUCCAUUCCAUGAUGAACCAGGACCAAUACCACGCGUCGCUGCUCAACAAGGGGCAGCCGGUGGGGCUGGGCUGGGACGGCAUCACCAAGGCCUCCAAACCUAAGGUGUUCCCGAUGGACCCGCCCAACGCCACGGACCCGGAUGAGUCGCUGCAGCGCGUGCGUGAUAACGACCUGAAGCUCACUGAUCUCAAUUGGAAUAAUAUUAAGAACAUAAGCGACGAGAAGUUCGAGAAGCUAUUCGAAGCCCUAAAGACCAAUACCAAUCUAGAAGUCCUCUCAUUGGUCAAUGUCGGCCUCAACGACCGCACUGCGCAGCUAUUGGCCGACGCUUUACAAGUAAAUAGUACCUUGAGGGUGGUCAACGUGGAAACCAAUUUUAUAAGUCCACAAGGAGUGGUGCAAUUGGUCAAGUCGUUACUGACCACCAAUUGUGUGGAGGAAUUCAGAGCUUCCAAUCAGCGGUCGCAAGUGCUGGGCAACAAGACGGAGAUGGAGAUCGCGUCGCUGGUGGAGCGCAGCCCGGCGCUGCUGCGGCUGGGGCUGCACCUGGAGUACAGCGACGCGCGCCAUCGCGUCGUCACGCAUCUGCAGCGCAACAUCGACAGGAAUUGUCGAGUGCAAAAGAAAGCGAGUGCUUCGCUCAGCCUCCGCUUGCCGCGCGGACGGCCGCCGGCCGUGGGCGUCGACGCCAGCAUCUUCAACCUCACCCCCCCCAGCGCCGAGGCGGUCACCCCCACCACAGAAAACGUAGAAAACACCAUCACAAUCGAAGCUAAAGAAAGCCCCGUCGAUGCACCAGAAGGCAUUGAGAGAAUAAUUCCCAUAGAACAAAAGACGGAGAUAGAAAGGAUACAAGACACAAUUGUGCUGGCAGAGAGACCUGAUACAAACCCGAAUCCCCACUCCCGAGAGGGGAGCGUAGAAAGUUAUAAAUAGACUUCGCAAUUAUCGUACGCCAGCAACGACGCAGCCAGAACAGCGCUUAGACCCGUGAGCCCUCAUCUGCGGUGGACGCGUACGCCGCCUGACUCAGUUCACUCGCAGCCGCAGCUACGUAGUGGGCUGGAUCCCCUAGCUACCCGCUUGCUGGCUACGUCUCCUCUGUCGCUAGUUCUUGUGACUGUGUAGAAAUUAUCUAAUUUGAUCGCCCAACUUGAGCAAACUAUGAACUUGGUUCAAAUUGGCACAAUUUUUAUUUUAUAGAUUGAAACUAACUUUACGCGCGCUAAUUUUAAAAUUGAAUGUGGAUUAUCGCAUUUUUUCUCUGACACUACGGAAAUCUAAUUAUAUAGGAACAAAUUUGUAUUUGUCGCUGCUGUUAAAUGAAUUUGACAAGAAAAAUAUUUUUCAGUAAAAUGUUACCAAAUUUGGUCAAGUCUUCUUUUCAGUUUAAUUUCAUUGGCUAACAAUAAAGCAUUUUACCAUAUGCUUAUGUGCCGACAUCUAGUGUGAGUCGUUAGGAACAACGCAACUCUCAUUCUGUUUUAAAUUCACAAAUAAAGGAAAUAGAAAUGAACCUUAUUUGGGUUAUUUAAAAACGAAUAAGUACAAUUGAUAAUGAAACAUGCAUUCAAAUGUUGUUUUAAAGCUAAGUGGGAGUAUGAAUUAAAUUUGUCUUGAAUGAAUAUUAUUAUAUUUCGAAAAAUACUCGUAUCGUACAAUGCCAGUAGCCGCUAUCUUGCCUAAGCUAGAAAACAAAUGAUUUUGCAAAAAUGCCAUUUGGGUCAGCAAUUUAAUUAUAUUUUCUACACAAUCACAAAAACUUAAAAUAUAACAGAGGUUAUAGUGUACACGAUGAUUGAAUGUUUCCGGCAAGAAUUGUCAUUUUAUGGUCUUAUCACAAUAAAAUAUUAAUCGAACCAUUUUUUGGUUAAUUUUUUUUUUUUAACUGAGGAUGGCAGGUCCAUCAUCCAAACAAACCAAACAAAUCAAAACAUAAUGGGAAUUAAAAUUUCUUUAUAAGUACACGAUAUAAAAUAAAAUAUAGAAUGACAAAACUUGUAGUAUGAUCGACUUUGUACGUUUUAAUAUUAAAUAUUAUUCUAGUGUGCUAAUGAAAUCGUAUUAAUUUUAAUAUAAUGAAUUGUAAUAUAUUUUAUAGAUGUGCACAUUCCAUUAAUGCGAAACAUGCUUCUCUUAUUUUGACUUAUUUUUUGCCCUAUGUAAUCUUAUCUUUUUAAUGACACAUAAAACAUAGGUACCUACACGCAAUCUUGACGCGGCCAUUUUGUCCUUGAAUCCUGAAUACAAAUUGGAGCGAUUGCGGUUACCUUAUUUAGAUGUUCUUGAUAUUUAGAAAGUAGACUUAUAACCUAACGACUGAAAAAAUCUUUUUGAUUGAUAUGCUCUAUAAUGACUGAUUUUUAUAACAUCAAAUUUUGUAGCAAAUGUGAAAAAUAAACUGGAAUCAGAAUAUUCAGGGUUUUAUUGUAUUUUUUGGGAAGAAAUACUUAGAGUGGGUAAUAACUGCAAUGCAUUUUUUUAUUGUCCAAUUCUAUUUAUACAUAGUACCUAGAAAUAACGUUAAAUUAUGCGUAUUAAUUUUCUUUACUUACUAUAGAGAAGCCAUGUUCUGCGUCAAUGGAGAGUAAUGUUAAUGAUACAAUUUUCAAUAAAGCACUAGGUUUGUAGCAACGUUGCCUUGUGUCUUCAGCAAAUGAACUGUUGUCUAACCGUAGAAAAAAAGAACUCAUGCAAAAAAUGCUUUAUAUGUUUCACUAUAACCUUUUGCUUUCUUGAAAUAUAAACUUGCUUAAUGUAACUCUUAUGUAUAUUUGAUAGAAACUACUGGAGAGUAAGUAUCCGUAACAUUGUGAUAAACAUCAUGUUUUUCCAUUAAAAAAAUACUGCUUCGUUUUUUUUUCGUCUUUAGUUUCAUUAAGAGAGAUUAUUUGUAUAUGAAUUUAGAUUUUUAAAGUGUAAUAUUCUUUUAUUGUGACGAUUUAUGAAAUUAAAAUUUAAUAUAAAACAUAAUUUUAUUUGUAAUAAUAGUUUUAUUUAUGUUUAUUUUAUAUUGGUUUCAGGAGCAUUUUGGUCCAAAUGAAAUCCUUUACUUGUAGAGUCGCAGUUCUGUAGUUUGUGACAAAUGUAAAAAAUACAAUAAAGUACAUAAACGACA
Plodia interpunctella (Indianmeal moth) is the source of this 3999-nucleotide RNA transcript. It is a transcript of the gene named tropomodulin, with no coding region annotated. The record is from RefSeq and is a predicted model, not a curated record. The transcript is spliced from 12 exons. Lineage: Eukaryota; Metazoa; Arthropoda; Insecta; Lepidoptera; Pyralidae.